Molecule: long non-coding RNA, 607 nt
Organism: Nerophis ophidion (straightnose pipefish)
Lineage: Eukaryota; Metazoa; Chordata; Actinopteri; Syngnathiformes; Syngnathidae
Exons: 5
Source: RefSeq, a predicted model, not a curated record
CAGGGGUGUUUAAAGCAAGAUUCAUAAGCUUGGACCAUGGUGCGCCUUUUAAUGGACUUCAAUCUGCAGGCCAGAGUUCAUUAAGCCGCUUCACUUUGCACCACAUCAUCAUUUGACUGGAGCCUAAUAAGUGACAACCCCGAGGCGCUGCUGAGGAGGCUGCAGAAGGGCUUGUAAUCACCAUUCACCUAUCCAUCAUCUCUACUGGCUAUGUUUUGCUGUCAGGGAAGAGAAGCCAUCUAAGGUGCUAUAAGUUAAUAGGUGGGCUCACCUUGGGAGAGAAGACUAUCAGAGGUGCCUCUCUGACUCGGCCAAGCAGCAUUCUCCAGCUUCCCUGAGCUUUGGGCCAACCUUCAGGGUGUUGAAUGUCACCAUCUGUUGAGGACCUGCCGGCUUCACGUCGCUACAGGAACUGAAGGAGAGGGGGGUUGGUUGACGCCGGGCCCGUGAGGACCACACUUGAUUGCACAGACACAACUUUCUGUCAAAUCUGACCUCCGGUCCGUCACUGAAAGAUGUCCGUGUGCAACAUAAACAACAACAACAACAGUUCCUGUUUGUUCAGGAAGGAGAAGCAGCCUGGAGUUAACACCGACACAAGUGAGCU